Molecule: long non-coding RNA, 1622 nt
Organism: Brassica napus (rape)
Lineage: Eukaryota; Viridiplantae; Streptophyta; Magnoliopsida; Brassicales; Brassicaceae
Exons: 3
Source: RefSeq, a predicted model, not a curated record
UAAAUAAAUUUGGUUACUUGUUCUUAGCUUUUGGUGAAUAAAAGGAAAAAGUUCCCCCAACUCUAUAUGUUUUUGGAAUUUUUUGUAUUGUGCCUCCAAUUACAAGGAUUCCUGCAUCCGCCCCUGAUCUCAGUGGAGUUAUUUUCCCCUUUUAUAUAUGUGUAAUGUGUAUUAAUAUGUGUGUGAAUCAUGAUUUUAAUGCUUAUUAAAGUAAUUUAACUAAUAACACAGCGGCCCACAUUUCAAAUCAUGUUAUCAAAUCGUUUAGGUUCAUGUAUUUUAAUUCGCUCAAUAUGUUAUAGUCACUUUGAAGCCAUUACAAAUAACAUAAAGCAAUGUUUGUUACCAAUACCACCAAAAACACAUAUUGGCUGCUUCUGGUCUCUUCUAAAUGGCCACUCAAAUUUGUUGGAAAAGAACACUGUAGUUUUUUUUUGUUUUUUUUUCAAUCUAAAGAUAACUAAAUCUAUUUUGAAAAUAUUCUUUUGGAGGAAACAUGUAGUAAUUUUAGGAAUCUCUAAUACAUGGUCUUAGACCAUGAUUAUCGGUGGUUUUUAAAGGAAAAUGGUGAUUUAAUUAAAUCCAAAAAAAAUUAAAGGGGAGUUAUCGAUCAUUAAUGGGGCACUUUGGUUACCGAUUUUAAGCGUGGUUUUUGAACCACGUGUCAGCCACACAGAAUUUUUAUUUUUUUUCUUUUUCUUUUCUUUUCUUUCUUUUCUUUUCUCGUUGUUUCGUGUCUUCUCGUUUACUCCUUCACAUGCGAAGGAUCGAUACAGACGACGACGACGACUCUCUCGGUUGAGUCGACGUCUCCUCUGUAUCCUCAUUUGUUAUCGUUACCUUCGCGAAGGUCUUUCGUUAAAGCUUCGAAAAGCGACGAUGAGUUUUGUUCAGCUCCUUCGAUCACUGAAUCAGACGAGAAGCCAAAACCCAUUUACUGGAAAAGUCACGAAUCCAACACUCUCUCCUUCACGCCUCCAAGGUCAUUUAUCGGAUUAAGCUACCAGGACCUGCAAUACUAGGAGAGACAAUUUCAAUUGUUCAAUUUGUAUUUGUCAUCGUGGGUUAUGAUUGUUUAGUUGGUAAUCUGAUUCAUUAUCUUUGACACACUGAUACGUCCUUGAAUGUGGUCUAGUUCUGUUGCCUGUUAACAAGAGAGGACUGUUACAUUCCCCAAAAACUGAUCUCUGUCAGAAAGUAUCAAGCUUUGAGCUUGAUGAUUCUCUAGUUCAUUGUGUUCUUCCAAGAUUUGAGGUAGAAGAUGGAGUAUUUCAAAGAGAGGAAGUUCGCAGAGAAUGUGGUAAAGGUUUCACUUCUUCUAAAGCUCUUUUUGGUCACAUGGCUUGUCACUUUGAGAGAGUGAAGAGGGUGUCAUGUUCUCAUUUUUUUCAGGUCAAGAAGAGUGUAAAGUCGUUAGUCAUCAGUCACGAACUUGUGUAGUAAUCACUUGUGCAAUGCUUACGUACUAACUCUUGUAAUUUGUAUUCUUGCAAACUCUUGUAGUCAUCAGUCAGGACUUGUAAAGCUUUGUGUCUAUAUAAACUUGUGAACUCUUGUAGUCUUGUCUAUAUAAAUUUUGUAUACCAAACUUUUAUUCACAACACAACACUCUUCUUCAUUCA